AUGUCAAUAUCGUAGUCCAAAGAACAUCCGUAUGACAACCUACAAGAUGAAGUCAUGCACAUAUGUCAAAUUUUGGCACACAAUAAAUAAAGGUUUUCCAGUUCUUGGCACACGAUAAAAUUGGAGGAACACAUAGAAAAUCUUCAAGCAGGGAGACUCACAAAUCUUAUUUUGUGCUAUGCACCGUGUUAUGACAUUGAUUUUGAACAUGUAUAUGCAGUACUAGCUGGAUGGACUAAUAGAUACAGUAGGAGGAUUGUUCCUGUCAGAACACUUCUAAGUCUGAGAAAGGAAAAUCUAGCAGUAGUCAGAAUGGGGAUGAACGGUUGUUGCUGUCACCGAAGUCAUGCUGCUUUUCAUGCUACAUCGGGAUUGUGCUUGAUGGGAUCGAUUGUCAGGAAUGAUGAGGGCCUGGUGUUUCUGUCUAUAGGUCACGGCAUCGGAACCUGCAACAGCAUUGAUGAAGCCGAGGGUACCGCGCUUCUGGUCGAUCUGAAGGAACUAGCGAGCUGUUAAAUGGUGCACCGUGCAAUCAGUAUCGAGUUAGACUGUCGGUUGUUGGUGCAGGGUCUGAAACAAGAUACGACUAAUAGGUCCAUGAUGCUCUCUGUUUUUUCUGACACUAAAGAGGCCCUGAAGCACUUGCUCACAAGCUUGGAUCGGUAGGGACCAGAACAAGCUUGCUCACAAUCUUGCAGAUAGAGCUAGAAGACAAGAGAUCUAUUAUGGCUAUCGGACGUGGAAUUAAGAGAGCUCUUACAUGCUGAAUGUAAUCCGGGUCAUUUUGUGUAUGAUUUUUUGAACAACAAGCUUAUCGGAUCAGCUACUUCUGCCUAAAUCAACCAAAUAAGUACAGAGUUAUCUUAUGUUAUUUCAAGGUAGAACCAAGGAGAUUAUUAAAUUAUUUCCUCCUUUAUUAACAGAACACACAGAAAACUAUUUUUCCAUGCAAAAAAGGUAUGUUGAUUAUCUAGGCUUCUCCUGAAGGAUAUCUAUCUACUAUUCUAUCACUCCUUUGAAGUUAUUUCUUUUACUUAGUGAUUCUGCUGUAUAUCAAAUUAUUUUUUAAUUCUAGUAGUUCUUACUUAGUAUAUGUUCCUUUUUGAUAGACUGGAUUGGUGGAAGGCCAAUCGUGCUAAGAGAAGACCCAAUGUUGGUCAAAGAACAAACUUCAAUUCAAGACCAAGUUAUAACUUUGGUUUGCUUUCCUGAGUUUAAUUCUAGUGGAAUAUACCCCAAAAUGGAUCCAAUGUUUGUGUCACCAAAGCCACAAAAUUUCAUGGUAAAUAUAGACUAUGUUUGUGUCAUCAGGGCAUUAGAAAUCAAUUUGAACAACUCAUGUCCUGGUAUGAUGUAUUGCAAACCUACCGUAAGAGACCCGAAUAGUGAACAUAUUGCAACAUAUGCGAGCAUUUUACUUUGCUCGGUAUGGUGAACAACCCAUAACAUUAAAACAAGUGCAAGAUCUAUAGCCAAGCAAGAAUAGACUAUGAAACCUGCCAGCACAGAUUAUAGUUGCAUGUCAAAAAUGGAUUUGAUAACAUAAAUAUUUUACUGAAAAAGUGGGAUAGAAAACAUAACCACAAACAUAAAGAAUGUUGCACAAAGGGAAACUACUUCCCUUAUAUACUUUCUUGGUGGUGUAACACCAUAUACUUUUUAUGGAAGUAUCACACAGAUAUAGUGCAUAUAAACAUAGAUGGUAUUAACCUAAAAAGCACGGACACGGCGACACGGACAGGGCGACACGCAUAUGGGGACAGGGGAUACGGCUUUUUUCCAAAAAUAGCCCAUCGGGGACACGUCAAGUAUAUAUAAAAAAUAAAUAUAAAUGUACAUGUAAUAUGCAGUUAAAGAUAG
This 1860-nucleotide long non-coding RNA is filed under the name Hordeum vulgare. RNAcentral's name for it is "long non-coding RNA (HVUL_LNC012202)". Lineage: Eukaryota; Viridiplantae; Streptophyta; Magnoliopsida; Poales; Poaceae. The record is from RNAcentral.